GACGUAGGGGGCAAGCGUUGUCCGGAAUCAUUGGGCGUAAAGCGCUCGUAGGUGGAUCGGUAAGUCUGCAAAGAAAGACCCGGGCUCAACUCGGGGAACGGUGUGGAUACUACCGAUCUUGAGGCAAUCAGAGGAUGAUGGAAUUCCCGGUGUAGCGGUGAAAUGCGUAGAGAUCGGAAAGAACACCAACGGCGAAAGCACUCUGCUGGGCCGACACUGACACUGAGAGACGAAAGCGUGGGGAGCGAACCGG
This 253-nucleotide ribosomal RNA is filed under the name uncultured bacterium. RNAcentral's name for it is "partial 16S ribosomal RNA". It matches the Rfam family "Bacterial small subunit ribosomal RNA", at positions 524 to 776 of the family's 1533-position model. The record is from RNAcentral.